Long non-coding RNA from Pseudophryne corroboree (corroboree frog), 322 nucleotides. RefSeq lists it as uncharacterized. The record is from RefSeq and is a predicted model, not a curated record. The transcript has 3 exons. NCBI's taxonomy places the organism in Eukaryota, Metazoa, Chordata, Amphibia, Anura, Myobatrachidae.
GGUUAAGUGGCAUUUCCUGUCCCAUUGUGUUAAAUAGCAUGCAGCUGCUGAUGUGCAGCAUGCAGCUAUCAUCAGAUACUAAACAGCAGAGUGGUGAGUGGACUGGCCGGUGUGGACCCCAAUGUAGUCCUGUGUUCCAGGAGCUAUCAUUUGACUCAUUGUGUCUAAUAUUGACCCAGAUGCUCUGAAUUGCCAGUCUUGAUAAAGGUCCUAUAAUAGGACCGAAACGUCGAAUGUUAAAGGCAACGUUAUUGAACCUGAUUAACCUGAAUAAACUGAUUGACACAUCAAGAUCUUCAAAGUGAUUGAUUUCUGCGAGAGU